This 204-nucleotide long non-coding RNA is filed under the name Sus scrofa (pig). RNAcentral describes it as "lncRNA (ENSSSCG00070007476.1)". Lineage: Eukaryota; Metazoa; Chordata; Mammalia; Artiodactyla; Suidae. The record is from RNAcentral.
AAGAAAGAUUAAGUUCUCAUCAGAAAACUCCAAUUCAUCUGUUUUAUGUAUAUGUGGGUACAAACAGAGUGACUUCUAAAAAGGUCGGCCUCCUGCAGCUGCUCCAGGUAAAAGAGUAUGUGGGACAAAACGACCUGAGAACAUGAGGCUCAGCCCCUGCUUCUCUGUCGGAAGGAGUGGUGGAGACGAUCAGACCAUUUCACU